GACGAACGCUGGCGGCGUGCUUAACACAUGCAAGUCGAACGGAAAGGCCCAGCUUGCUGGGUGCUCGAGUGGCGAACGGGUGAGUAACACGUGGGUGAUCUGCCUCUAACUUCGGGAUAAGCUUGGGAAACUGGGUCUAAUACCGGAUAGGACAAUCGUUUAGUGUCGGUUGUGGAAAGUUUUUUCGGUUAGGGAUGAGCCCGCGGCCUAUCAGCUUGUUGGUGGGGUAAUGGCCUACCAAGGCGUCGACGGGUAGCCGGCCUGAGAGGGUGGACGGCCACAUUGGGACUGAGAUACGGCCCAGACUCCUACGGGAGGCAGCAGUGAGGAAUAUUGCACAAUGGGCGCAAGCCUGAUGCAGCGACGCCGCAUGGGGGAUGACGGCCUUCGGGUUGUAAACCUCUUUCGACAGGGACGAAGCUUUGGUGACGGUACCUGUAUAAGAAGCACCGGCUAACUACGUG
This 464-nucleotide ribosomal RNA is filed under the name uncultured bacterium. RNAcentral describes it as "partial 16S ribosomal RNA". It matches the Rfam family "Bacterial small subunit ribosomal RNA", at positions 28 to 507 of the family's 1533-position model. The record is from RNAcentral.